RNAcentral lists this long non-coding RNA (2740 nucleotides) under Homo sapiens (human). Its description in RNAcentral is "HSALNT0273030". The record is from RNAcentral. Lineage: Eukaryota; Metazoa; Chordata; Mammalia; Primates; Hominidae.
AAUUGCUUGAACCCAGGAGGCAGAGGUUGCAGUGAGCCGAGAUCAUACCACUGCACUCCAGCCUGGGCGACAGAACGAGACUCUGUCUCAAAAAAAAAGGCUUCCUUCCAAAGAGUACAGCAUGGAAGGGAUGGAGGAAGAGGAGCUUUGCACUAGAUAAGUCUGACGGGCACUACCUCAGCCAGGUCAUCAAGGUCAACAUCAACAGUGAUGAAUCGUGUAGGUGUUAUGUGGUGUGGCCUUCUUAGUGGCUGUCAAAGGCCUUCCAGUUGCAUUUCUAAUCCCCAUUCCUUGACAUGAUUUACUGAAAAUGACACUUCACCUCUCUGGUCUUCCCAUAACUCCAUAACCCCAGUCUAAUCAACAGAAAAACAUCAAACAAAUCUCAUCUCUGCAUUCUAACAAAUAGGUGACAGUGUUCCUUGGAACUGUCAAGGUCACCAAAGACCAAGAAAGUCUGAGAAACUGUCACAACCAAAAGGAGCCUAAAGAGGCAUGAUUAAAGGUAAUGUGGUGUCCCCAGUGGGAUCCUAAAACAGAAAACAGUACAUAAACGACAUUAGGAAAACCUGAAGAAAAUACGAAUCAAGUGUGGAAUUUAGUUAAUAAUAAUGUACCUGGCUCAUUAAUUGUGACAAAUGGACUCUACUUACAUAAGAUGUUAAUAACAGGAAACAGUGGAUGUGAGGCCUAUGGGAACUCUCUCUACUAUGCUUGCAAUUCUUCUGUAAAUCGAAAAUUGCUUUGAAAUUAAAUUUUUAUUUUUUAUUUUAUAUUUUUAUUUUUUUAUUUUUUUUUAAAGGCCAGAUCAUACCAUUAAGUAAGUGACAUUCCAGAUUGAUUACUGUCUGUAUUGGUUGGGGAGGCAGUAUAGAAAAUGGAAAACAAAGCUAUUUACGGUUCUCACCAUGAGCUGUGUUUCCAUAACAGAUGCAUUUUAUAGAUGGAUUGUUAUUCUAAUAAUAAGUACUAUAUUUUCUUGCCUAUAUUAGGUCAUUAUAUCCUCUAAAGAGUAUAAGUUAGUACAACUCUCCAUAGGCAGAGGCUCUUCCUUGAGAAGAACCAAUAUGAGUUCAUGAAGAGUCUUCAACUCAGUUUCCCAAGAACAUCCUAGAGGAGAAUUAACGAAAGGUGUGGCCCUCUUAGUGGCCGUCAAAGGCCUUCCAGUUGCAUUUCUAACCCCCAGCAGAACCACAGCACUGCCCCAGGUAGUCAAGCACGGUGGUUUCUGAUAAAGGUCUGCCCGUGACUUAUCUGUGGUUUUCUUAACUUUCAAUUUUUAUUUUUUCAAUUUUUUAAUUAUUUAUUUAUUUAUUUUUUGAGACAAAGUCUCCCUCUGUCACCCAGCCUGGAGUACAGUGGCAUAAUCACAGUUCACAGCAGCCUCCAACUCCUGGGCUCAAGGGAUCCUCCCACCUCAGCCUCCCAAGUAUCUGGGGCCACAGGUGUACGCCACCACACCCAGUGAUAUAUCUGUGUUUUAAAGGUCAUGGAUUAUCACCCUCAAGCAAUAAAAUGGUUCAGAUGAAAGCAUGCCAUGAAGUAGGUGCGUGAGGUGAUGGCCAGAAUUCCACUAGUUCAAUGACUCCCACCUUUGUCAGCCAGGAGUCGGUCCUGCCGUAUUCCUUACGGACCACUGAGCCAGUCAGAUCCAGUGCUUCUUCCCCUGUGCUGGUCAGUGGGGCUGACCCAUGCAGAUGGUGUUUUCCUGGCUUCCAGGUAUCUCAGCCACUCCUGCAGAUCCCAUGUGACUCCAGUUCUUCCCAGACAUGCCCACCGUGGGUGCUGAGUAACCCAGCUCCUGGCUCUGGCAACCUCCCCUCCUUUUGACUCGCAAGCCUAGAAACAUAGUGGCUUCCUGCUGUUACCAACUUCUGGGUUCCUCCACUGCCCUUUGUUUGGCCUCUCAGAACUUUUAUCACCCACUGAACCAAUUCUUUGUAGCAAAUGAAACCGCCUUUGCAAAAUUAUGACUGAGACAGUGAAAGAGAUCUAACUCAAUCAACUCCAUCUUGCUUCUAACCUUCAAGCUGUCCUUGUUCAUUCCUGGGUGUAGGCUGAAUGAACUUUGGGAGAAACUCAGUUUAUAGUUUAUAGUUUAAAACAAAGAUGAUAACAGCCCUUUCUCAAAGCAGACCUCCUCCUUGCCUGGGGACUAGACUGCCUUUGUAGGACUAACAUUAGCCACGAGAUUAGAAAAAAUUAUUUAGGAGUCAUGCAGCUGGAGGUUACAAGAUUCUGACCCUCCCUAAACCACUCCUAAAAUCAGUGCUUCAGAUAUUUUGCAGACUCUGCACUUGAUGGAUCAGCCGGCACCAUCCAGACUGAUAAGCUGGCUCAUCUGAUCCUGUGGCCCCUGCCCAGGUUACUGACUCAGUGCAAAAAGAUAGCUUUGACUCCCUAUGAUUUCAUCUGUGACCAAUCAGCACUCCUGGUUCACUAGCCUCCCACGCCCCCACUCACCAAGAUGUCCUUAAAAGCUCUGCUCCACGAAUGCUUGGAGAGACUGAUUUGAGUAAUAAUAAAACUCUGGUCUCCCGCAUAGCUGACUCUGCGUGAAUCACUCUUUCUCUAUUGCAAUUCCCCUGUCUUGAUAAAUAGGCUCUGUCUAGGCAGCUGGCAAGGAGAACCCCUUGGGCAGUUACAUAAAUACCGUCUGUUGGCCAAAGCGGUGGUUCAUGCCUGCAACCUCAACACUUUGGGAGGCCGAGAUGGAAGGAUCACUUGAGCCCAGGAGUUC